This is a long non-coding RNA of Lactuca sativa (garden lettuce), 837 nucleotides long. RefSeq lists it as uncharacterized. NCBI's taxonomy places the organism in Eukaryota, Viridiplantae, Streptophyta, Magnoliopsida, Asterales, Asteraceae. The record is from RefSeq and is a predicted model, not a curated record.
UCACAGUGAUAUCUUUCCUUUUAAUUUGCCUCAUCGCCUCCCUCAUCUAUACACCACCAGAGCACCAUGUGCUCUAUGAUCAUCUAAAAAAGCGAAAUAGAUGAGAGAGUACACGAGUGAGAUCGAGAAGGAGGGUGAUGUAGUGGUGUUGGAGAUCUGUUGGCGGCGAUAUAGGUGAUGCUACGGCGGUAUUAGGACUGCACACCGAUUGUGACCCGGUGGUCUGAAGAUUAAAUUGGUUCUGUGGAAAUGGAGAACGAUGAAGAGAUUGAUGAGGAAGAGGUGAUUUGCAGAAUAUAUUUGGUAUUUAUUUGAAUCCCAAAAAUUUCGUAUAACAUAUCUCAUGUGAGAUCUUCAUCUUUAUCGACACACCGCCAGAAAUUGAGAAUCAGUAUCUCUGAUUAAUUUGGAUCCUAGUAAUUCCAUAUAUUGUAUAUCUUGAUACCAUCAUCAUAAGUGUCGCUCACAACCAGAAGGGAGUUGAAUUAGCAUCUCGACGUUAUAGCUGGAAGACAUUUAUCUUGUUUUAGAAACAUAGUUUACUGGGUUAUAUAAAAUCAUGGAUUCAGGUUGCAGGUGAAGCAGUUGAAGUGGAAAAUUGAUAAUGAAGAACAUCAAGGAUAAUAACUUUAAUUCAUCUACAAAUUUUAAUUUUCAUCCGGUACAUCAUGAGGAUUUGGUCGAUUUUAUCCCCAUAUUUCAUCUUCUUCUUCCUUGCUAAUUUUUCCCUAAUUUUCGAGGUUUUCCCUUGUAACUAGAAAGUGGAAUGUUUAUGCUUGGAAUGUUUGAGUCCCUAGUUUUUGAGUAAUAAUAAAUGAUUAAAUGUGUAGUUUUCUA